This 1491-nucleotide ribosomal RNA is filed under the name Shigella flexneri. RNAcentral's name for it is "partial 23S ribosomal RNA". It matches the Rfam family "Bacterial large subunit ribosomal RNA", at positions 348 to 1827 of the family's 2925-position model. Lineage: Bacteria; Pseudomonadati; Pseudomonadota; Gammaproteobacteria; Enterobacterales; Enterobacteriaceae. The record is from RNAcentral.
AGGCGUGCGAUACAGGGUGACAGCCCCGUACACAAAAAUGCACAUACUGUGAGCUCGAUGAGUAGGGCGGGACACGUGGUAUCCUGUCUGAAUAUGGGGGGACCAUCCUCCAAGGCUAAAUACUCCUGACUGACCGAUAGUGAACCAGUACCGUGAGGGAAAGGCGAAAAGAACCCCGGCGAGGGGAGUGAAAAAGAACCUGAAACCGUGUACGUACAAGCAGUGGGAGCACGCUUAGGCGUGUGACUGCGUACCUUUUGUAUAAUGGGUCAGCGACUUAUAUUCUGUAGCAAGGUUAACCGAAUAGGGGAGCCGAAGGGAAACCGAGUCUUAACUGGGCGUUAAGUUGCAGGGUAUAGACCCGAAACCCGGUGAUCUAGCCAUGGGCAGGUUGAAGGUUGGGUAACACUAACUGGAGGACCGAACCGACUAAUGUUGAAAAAUUAGCGGAUGACUUGUGGCUGGGGGUGAAAGGCCAAUCAAACCGGGAGAUAGCUGGUUCUCCCCGAAAGCUAUUUAGGUAGCGCCUCGUGAAUUCAUCUCCGGGGGUAGAGCACUGUUUCGGCAAGGGGGUCAUCCCGACUUACCAACCCGAUGCAAACUGCGAAUACCGGAGAAUGUUAUCACGGGAGACACACGGCGGGUGCUAACGUCCGUCGUGAAGAGGGAAACAACCCAGACCGCCAGCUAAGGUCCCAAAGUCAUGGUUAAGUGGGAAACGAUGUGGGAAGGCCCAGACAGCCAGGAUGUUGGCUUAGAAGCAGCCAUCAUUUAAAGAAAGCGUAAUAGCUCACUGGUCGAGUCGGCCUGCGCGGAAGAUGUAACGGGGCUAAACCAUGCACCGAAGCUGCGGCAGCGACGCUUAUGCGUUGUUGGGUAGGGGAGCGUUCUGUAAGCCUGUGAAGGUGUACUGUGAGGUAUGCUGGAGGUAUCAGAAGUGCGAAUGCUGACAUAAGUAACGAUAAAGCGGGUGAAAAGCCCGCUCGCCGGAAGACCAAGGGUUCCUGUCCAACGUUAAUCGGGGCAGGGUGAGUCGACCCCUAAGGCGAGGCCGAAAGGCGUAGUCGAUGGGAAACAGGUUAAUAUUCCUGUACUUGGUGUUACUGCGAAGGGGGGACGGAGAAGGCUAUGUUGGCCGGGCGACGGUUGUCCCGGUUUAAGCGUGUAGGCUGGUUUUCCAGGCAAAUCCGGAAAAUCAAGGCCGAGGCGUGAUGACGAGGCACUACGGUGCUGAAGCAACAAAUGCCCUGCUUCCAGGAAAAGCCUCUAAGCAUCAGGUAACAUCAAAUCGUACCCCAAACCGACACAGGUGGUCAGGUAGAGAAUACCAAGGCGCUUGAGAGAACUCGGGUGAAGGAACUAGGCAAAAUGGUGCCGUAACUUCGGGAGAAGGCACGCUGAUACGUAGGUGAAGCGACUUGCUCGUGGAGCUGAAAUCAGUCGAAGAUACCAGCUGGCUGCAACUGUUUAUUAAAAACACAGCACUGUGCA